AACGAACGCUGGCGGCAUGCCUAACACAUGCAAGUCGAACGAGACCUUCGGGUCUAGUGGCGCACGGGUGCGUAACGCGUGGGAAUCUGCCCUUAGGUUCGGAAUAACUUCGGGAAACUGAAGCUAAUACCGGAUGAUGACGUAAGUCCAAAGAUUUAUCGCCUAAGGAUGAGCCCGCGUUGGAUUAGCUAGUUGGUGAGGUAAAGGCUCACCAAGGCGACGAUCCAUAGCUGGUCUGAGAGGAUGAUCAGCCACACUGGGACUGAGACACGGCCCAGACUCCUACGGGAGGCAGCAGUGGGGAAUAUUGGACAAUGGGCGAAAGCCUGAUCCAGCAAUGCCGCGUGAGUGAUGAAGGCCUUAGGGUUGUAAAGCUCUUUUACCCGGGAUGAUAAUGACAGUACCGGGAGAAUAAGCUCCGGCUAACUCCGUGCCA
Molecule: ribosomal RNA, 436 nt
Filed under: uncultured bacterium
Lineage: Bacteria
Description: bacterial SSU rRNA
Rfam family: Bacterial small subunit ribosomal RNA
Source: RNAcentral